ACUUACUUUCUUCUCGACUUUUCUUUUCUUUUCUUUUUUAUUUAGCUCCGAAGCAUUUUAAUUAAAUAAAAGUACAAUUUAUUUAUAAAUUGAUUAAUAUAUUUUUAGAUAAUUUUCUAUAUUUUCUGAAAGACGAGAUUACUGUUGACUCCCCUCCUGCCACCCAUGCACACAGUGCGCUCCUACCUCUUCCACCACCAUCCCUCCGCUAGCGCCCCGCUCGCCCUGGCCCCCUCCUCCUCCGUCGCCGUUUGAGAACCUGACCGACUUCGUCGUCGACUUCAAGCUCCUCGAGAUCUUGUAGGAGUUCCCUGACUGCUCCAGCUUUGGCUCCGACAAGCUCCAGAGUUGAAGAGUCAAGUCCGUGGAUUCAAAGAAAAAUUACGUACAUAAGAAGAAUUCACGCAGCAAUCCCCGACUUUGACAGGGUUACCGGAGGAAUGCGAUGAUGCUCGAGUUGCAGGGGAGGUGUGUGUGUGGUCUGUUCCUCGUCAUCUCUUCUAAUAAUCCUUUUAUCAGGAUAGCAGAGAGGAGUUCAUUAGCUUGUCCUGAUCUCUUCUGCUUCAUAUCAAUCGUGCGCAGUAGACAAGAUUUUUAUACCUUGUGAUCAUAAUAUCAAUAUUUCCCUAUAUAUUUCACACAGAUUUAGGAGUAUAUCUCCUGCUCUGCAGUUGCAGCAGAUGCAGAACAGUAGGAAGCAGUCUGCCUUCACUUACAUACAUGUUUUAAGGAUGAACUGGGCGCGAACCGAUCCAUGAGCAUGCAAACGGUGGCUUCCGAGAGCGUGGUCGUCCUCCUCUGCCGCCGCUUCUCCCGAACAGCUUCCUCCUCCGCUGUAAGCAGUACUUCGGUUCCCUUCACCUCGUCUUCCUCCUGCCUGGCGGAGCUGCAAGUCCCGGUGCUCUGCUGUUUACUCCCGAGCUUGGCAAUGACUCCACCCAUCCACAUUCCCACAAAGCCUGACAUCUCUGCUACUUCUUCUCAGAAUGCUCCUGUUCAAAGCUACACAGGUUUCGCUAAGUAUAUAUCGAGAGGAGGAGGAAGAAAGCAGGGGUUGAGCUCCACGGUCGUCUCUUCUUAUCUCUGUUGCCCCCCACAUUGGCUGCGUCACGCAAUGGUUUUCCCAGCCCAUUGGCUUCCGCUGCAGGGAAUUGCUCGGUGAACCGCGUAGGUGUCACAUCAACGCCUACACAAUUUGACACGGAUUAGAAAUGAUCUAGAUGAUUGAUGGCGAUUUGGGCUGAGUUGGAGGGUUUUUCUUGUUUGGCAAGGAUCUACCGCAUCUUCUUCUUCCUUUUUGUGUGCAUGGGCACUCUUUGAUUC
Musa acuminata AAA Group (dessert banana) is the source of this 1323-nucleotide long non-coding RNA. RefSeq lists it as uncharacterized. NCBI's taxonomy places the organism in Eukaryota, Viridiplantae, Streptophyta, Magnoliopsida, Zingiberales, Musaceae. The record is from RefSeq and is a predicted model, not a curated record. The transcript is spliced from 2 exons.